UGUGAAACAUAGAAAGUAUGAUAAAAACCCUAAAAUUAAAUUCAAAUUUGAGGUUGAAAAUUUAAAUUUUGGCUUAUAAGCAUAAACGGAAACUUUUACCAAUUUCUUUCACUUUAGACUACCAUGCCACCGUGGGAUAUACUAGCCAUGUUCUCCAAGAACAUAUUUCCUCUAACAUAAAGAUAGAUGGAUAUGGUCACUGACAUAUUAGCACUACCGUUUAUAGGUCCAUAUGUCUUUUCAUUAGAGGAUCUCAUUCCCGUUCUCCAACCCCGGCAUAUAGUCAUAGCUGCUGCUGUCUCACUCUAACAAAGUUCUGUUUGUUGCUUGCAUCGGUGAUGAACUGGUGGCUGCCUGGCUGGAGACCAACUUACAAAUUGCUUUCUUCAUGUGCGUAACUAGCUAGAGCCUAGAGGCCUCGAGGGCUCGAGGCAUUCGCCCGCUGCUCGCAGCUCGCUGGUCGGCCACGGUGGCAAUGGUUUCAAUGAGGCUGGACAAGUGGUCACAUCAGUCGCCGGAGCAGUGUUCCCCUGUCGUAAUUAAGCAGCAGCAAAAACACGGCAGCGAGAGCCGUGACAGCCACAUCGGAGACGAAGAAGAUGACAACAAGAAGGGGUCCAAUGUGAAUCAAAAUGAUCGAUCUACAAUGGAGCGACGAGUCCAAUUUUUGUGGACAGAUCACGUCCCGGCCCCGUGCAGUUUAUAUCAAUCCAACCCUCCCUUGCUCCCAGCCCAUCAUGUGUUGUGUCAUCCAUUAGUUAAAUUAAGCCUUUUUAUCAUCAUUAAAAAGUAUCUUGAUGUACCGAAAAAUUUUAAUGCUACCUCAAGGUUCAAAAUUGUUACGCUAGAAAAUAUGAUACUUUGAUGUGCUUUUUAAGGAUAGUAAAAAAAGCUCUUAAAUUAA
Molecule: long non-coding RNA, 904 nt
Organism: Oryza brachyantha (malo sina)
Lineage: Eukaryota; Viridiplantae; Streptophyta; Magnoliopsida; Poales; Poaceae
Exons: 3
Source: RefSeq, a predicted model, not a curated record